Molecule: ribosomal RNA, 253 nt
Filed under: uncultured bacterium
Lineage: Bacteria
Description: partial 16S ribosomal RNA
Rfam family: Bacterial small subunit ribosomal RNA
Source: RNAcentral
UACGUAGGUGGCAAGCGUUGUCCGGAUUUACUGGGCGUAAAGGGCGUGCAGGCGGUUUGUUAAGUGCAGGGUGAAAGCUCCCGGCUCAACUGGGAGAGGUCCUUGCAUACUGGCAAACUCGAGGGAGGCAGAGGAAAGUGGAAUUCCCGGUGUAGUGGUGAUAUGCGUAGAUAUCGGGAGGAACACCUGUGGCGAAGGCGGCUUUCUGGGCCUUACCUGACGCUGAGACGCGAAAGCGUGGGGAGCGAGCCGG